GCGAUACUAGCUCAGUUGGUAGAGCGCAACCUUGCCAAGGUUGAGGUCACGAGUUCGAACCUCGUGUGUCGCU
RNAcentral lists this transfer RNA (73 nucleotides) under Candidatus Enterovibrio escicola. Its description in RNAcentral is "Candidatus Enterovibrio escacola tRNA". It matches the Rfam family "tRNA". Rfam says of the family: Transfer RNA (tRNA) molecules are approximately 80 nucleotides in length. Their secondary structure includes four short double-helical elements and three loops (D, anti-codon, and T loops). Further hydrogen bonds mediate the characteristic L-shaped molecular structure. tRNAs have two regions of fundamental functional importance: the anti-codon, which is responsible for specific mRNA codon recognition, and the 3' end, to which the tRNAs corresponding amino acid is attached (by aminoacyl-tRNA synthetases). tRNAs cope with the degeneracy of the genetic code in two manners: having more than one tRNA (with a specific anti-codon) for a particular amino acid; and 'wobble' base-pairing, i.e. permitting non-standard base-pairing at the 3rd anti-codon position. Lineage: Bacteria; Pseudomonadati; Pseudomonadota; Gammaproteobacteria; Vibrionales; Vibrionaceae. The record is from Rfam by way of RNAcentral.